AAGCCACAGAACCAAGAGGAGCCCAGUCAUGGAUCCUGCCACAGGCGACCCGUGGCUCUUUUUGCUUCAUGUUUCUGGAGAGCCAGUUUGAACAGGGAGGCAACUAGAUCCUGCUCUUGCUCCCCAGGUGUGGAUCCUGAGGACACCGUCUCAUGAACAUCUUACACUAAUCUCCAACUCAGAGCCUGCUUCCGAGGGAGCUCAACCUGCAACAGCCACUGACUUAAAUCUAACUUAUUCAAUAAAUCUGCAUCUAGUUUCCAUUAUGGGCCAGACAUAUGCGGACACUGGGGACGGAUCCAUGGAUCAACCAUCUUCCUUGUGCUCUAGUCUGGCUGGAGAGCCAGACAGGUACUGAGUCCAGGAGGGCCAAUGAGGAGGACAAGAAGGCCACUGUGCCCAGUCUGUGGGACUUUGGAAAGUUGAUGUGAGGUUUAGGAAAAUCCUGCUAAUGACAUAUUAGCAGUAACUGGAAACAACUUGUCAGAUUCGCAAGGACCUGCCUCUUCUCACUCUCCCCACGGCAGGGAGUGGUGGACGUGGCCAUGCCCUGACUCCAGAUCCCCGGGAGAGAAAAGAUGGAUAUGCAAGUCUGGAGUCUAGGGCUGCAGACUGGGAAUCCCAGAUCUGUUUUCUCUGUAGAAGUGACUAUUCAUGACCCAGAGCACGCAGUGGAAAAAGACUUUUUAAAAGCUUCCAGCCCAACACUUGAGAUUUGGAUGAAGGAAUCGAAGUCCAAAGAGGAAAGCUGUAUGACCAAGGUCAUACAGCUGGGCAAAAGAUUUAAGGCUAAGAGCCAAGCUUCCGGACUCCAAAUCCCCACUGAUUUUCCUAUAACCCAAUUGCCCACUCUCGUUAUUUAAAAUUAUUUUAAUAGCACUUAUUGUCUCUUCUUUAUAUCUAAUUACAAA
This is a long non-coding RNA of Pteropus alecto (black flying fox), 911 nucleotides long. RefSeq lists it as uncharacterized. The record is from RefSeq and is a predicted model, not a curated record. Lineage: Eukaryota; Metazoa; Chordata; Mammalia; Chiroptera; Pteropodidae. The transcript is spliced from 3 exons.